GAAAUGCGAUACCUGGUGUGAAUUGCAGAAUCCCGUGAACCAUCGAGUCUUUGAACGCAAGUUGCGCCCGAAGCCUUUUGGCCGAGGGCACGUCUGCCUGGGCGUUACGCAUCGCGUCUGCCCCCCGACCCCACCCUUGUGUGGGAAAAGGGGGAGGAGGAUGGCCUCCCACGCCUCACCGGGCGUGGCUGGCCUAAAAACGGACCUCAGGUCACGGACUGCUGCGGCGUAUGGUGGUAUACAAGGCAUUGCCUAGGAAGCAUCGCGUCGCGCAACACGUAGCCCGCGAGGACUCGUAGGACCCUAACUUUGUCUCCUCACUGCGGCAAAACCGUUGCGACCCCAGGUCGGGCGGGGCUACCCGCUGAGUUUAA
Molecule: unclassified non-coding RNA, 374 nt
Filed under: uncultured fungus
Lineage: Eukaryota; Fungi
Description: sequence contains ITS1
Rfam family: 5.8S ribosomal RNA (bases 1-107)
Source: RNAcentral